This 315-nucleotide ribosomal RNA is filed under the name Triticum aestivum (bread wheat). RNAcentral describes it as "partial small subunit ribosomal RNA". Lineage: Eukaryota; Viridiplantae; Streptophyta; Magnoliopsida; Poales; Poaceae. The record is from RNAcentral.
AUGGACACGCCCGCGACAAGGGAGCUAAUCGACGCCAGACGAGAGCCAUGCUUCGUCGCCUCCCAGGGCCACCUGGUUCACCAUCCGAAUCUGCCGCUAAAGAGGGCAUCCCCGCCCUCUCGUCCUGGGUCGAAGGAUGUCGACCCAUCAGCAGACAAAGCAGCUCACCCCCAAGCACGCUUGGACCGGCGAACCAGUUGCCGAGGAGAGAGCGACCGCCCUAGUGACUCACCUGUGAAAGAAACCCAUACAUCGCCACCGUCUCCGGCCAAGACCCAGAAGCCCACCGCAGCUGUCGAGCAUGAACCCUACUAA